AUACCCUAUUAUUUUAAGUGUUAAUUUUACUUACCUGGGUACUAUUAGUUAGGAUCUUUAAACCCAAAGAAUUUGGCGGUACCUUAUUCCAUUCAGAGGAACCUACCCCGUAAUUGAUAAUACACGAUUUACUUUACUUAAUUUAUUUGUUUGUAUAUCUCCGUUAUCAGAAAAUCUUGUUGGAGUUAUAAUUUUCUUGAUUUAUGAUUGUAAAAUAUUUCAGGUCAAGGUGCAGCUUAUAAUUAAGAGGAGGUGGGUUACAAUAAAUUUUUGUUUAUUAUGGAUUUAAUAGUUAAACACUAUUAAUGAAGGUGGAUUUGAUAGUAAUUUGAUUAAGUUAUUUUAAUUGAUAUUGGCUCUAAGGUGUGUACACAUCGCCCGUCGCUCUCA
RNAcentral lists this ribosomal RNA (390 nucleotides) under Dociostaurus brevicollis. RNAcentral describes it as "12S ribosomal RNA". It matches the Rfam family "Microsporidia small subunit ribosomal RNA", at positions 752 to 1207 of the family's 1311-position model. Lineage: Eukaryota; Metazoa; Arthropoda; Insecta; Orthoptera; Acrididae. The record is from RNAcentral.